AGAGUUUGAUCCUGGCUCAGAUUGAACGCUGGCGGCAGGCCUAACACAUGCAAGUCGAGCGGUAGCGGGAAGAGCUUGCUCUUUGCCGACGAGCGGCGGACGGGUGCGUAACACGUAGGAAUCUGCCCGGUAGUGGGGGAUAGCCCGGAGAAAUCCGGAUUAAUACCGCAUACGCCCUAAGGGGGAAAGCAGGGGAUCUUCGGACCUUGCGCUAUCGGAUGAGCCUGCGUCGGAUUAGCUUGUUGGUGGGGUAAAGGCCUACCAAGGCGACGAUCCGUAGCUGGUCUGAGAGGAUGAUCAGCCACACUGGGACUGAGACACGGCCCAGACUCCUACGGGAGG
Molecule: ribosomal RNA, 342 nt
Filed under: uncultured Spongiobacter sp.
Lineage: Bacteria; Pseudomonadati; Pseudomonadota; Gammaproteobacteria
Description: bacterial SSU rRNA
Rfam family: Bacterial small subunit ribosomal RNA
Source: RNAcentral